AGGGUAUAGACCCGAAACCCGGUGAUCUAGCCAUGGGCAGGUUGAAGGUUGGGUAACACUAACUGGAGGACCGAACCGACUAAUGUUGAAAAAUUAGCGGAUGACCUGUGGCUGGGGGUGAAAGGCCAAUCAAACCGGGAGAUAGCUGGUUCUCCCCGAAAGCUAUUUAGGUAGCGCCUCGUGAAUUCAUCUCCGGGGGUAGAGCACUGUUUCGGCUAGGGGGCCAUCCCGGCUUACCAACCCGAUGCAAACUGCGAAUACCGGAGAAUGUUAUCACGGGAGACACACGGCGGGUGCUAACGUCCGUCGUGAAGAGGGAAACAACCCAGACCGCCAGCUAAGGUCCCAAAGUCAUGGUUAAGUGGGAAACGAUGUGGGAAGGCCCAGACAGCCAGGAUGUUGGCUUAGAAGCAGCCAUCAUUUAAAGAAAGCGUAAUAGCUCACUGGUCGAGUCGGCCUGCGCGGAAGAUGUAACGGGGCUAAACCAUGCACCGAAGCUGCGGCAGCGACACUUUAGUGUUGUUGGGUAGGGGAGCGUUCUGUAAGCCGUUGAAGGUGUCCUGUGAGGGGUGCUGGAGGUAUCAGAAGUGCGAAUGCUGACAUAAGUAACGAUAAAGCGGGUGAAAAGCCCGCUCGCCGGAAGACCAAGGGUUCCUGUCCAACGUUAAUCGGGGCAGGGUGAGUCGACCCCUAAGGCGAGGCCGAAAGGCGUAGUCGAUGGGAAACGGGUUAAUAUUCCCGUACUUGGUGUUACUGCGAAGGGGGGACGGAGAAGGCUAUGUUGGCCGGGCGACGGUAGUCCCGGUUUAAGCGUGUAGGUGUGUGUUCCAGGUAAAUCCGGUUCACUUUAACACUGAGGCGUGAUGACGAGGCACCACGGUGCUGAAGCAACAAAUGCCCUGCUUCCAGGAAAAGCCUCUAAGCAUCAGGUAACAUCAAAUCGUACCCCAAACCGACACAGGUGGUCAGGUAGAGAAUACCAAGGCGCUUGAGAGAACUCGGGUGAAGGAACUAGGCAAAAUGGUGCCGUAACUUCGGGAGAAGGCACGCUGACACGUAGGUGAAGUGAUUUACUCACGGAGCUGAAGUCAGUCGAAGAUACCAGCUGGCUGCAACUGUUUAUUAAAAACACAGCACUGUGCAAACACGAAAGUGGACGUAUACGGUGUGACGCCUGCCCGGUGCCGGAAGGUUAAUUGAUGGGGUCAGCGCAAGCGAAGCUCCUGAUCGAAGCCCCGGUAAACGGCGGCCGUAACUAUAACGGUCCUAAGGUAGCGAAAUUCCUUGUCGGGUAAGUUCCGACCUGCACGAAUGGCGUAAUGAUGGCCAGGCUGUCUCCACCCGAGACUCAGUGAAAUUGAACUCGCUGUGAAGAUGCAGUGUACCCGCGGCAAGACGGAAAGACCCCGUGAACCUUUACUAUAGCUUGACACUGAACAUUGAGCCUUGAUGUGUAGGAUAGGUGGGAGGCUUUGAAGCGUGGACGCCAGUCUGCGUGGAGCCGACCUUGAAAUACCACCCUUUAAUGUUUGAUGUUCUAACGUGGACCCGUAAUCCGGGUUGCGGACAGUGUCUGGUGGGUAGUUUGACUGGGGCGGUCUCCUCCUAAAGAGUAACGGAGGAGCACGAAGGUUGGCUAAUCCUGGUCGGACAUCAGGAGGUUAGUGCAAUGGCAUAAGCCAGCUUGACUGCGAGCGUGACGGCGCGAGCAGGUGCGAAAGCAGGUCAUAGUGAUCCGGUGGUUCUGAAUGGAAGGGCCAUCGCUCAACGGAUAAAAGGUACUCCGGGGAUAACAGGCUGAUACCGCCCAAGAGUUCAUAUCGACGGCGGUGUUUGGCACCUCGAUGUCGGCUCAUCACAUCCUGGGGCUGAAGUAGGUCCCAAGGGUAUGGCUGUUCGCCAUUUAAAGUGGUACGCGAGCUGGGUUUAGAACGUCGUGAGACAGUUCGGUCC
This 1953-nucleotide ribosomal RNA is filed under the name Salmonella enterica. RNAcentral describes it as "bacterial LSU rRNA". It matches the Rfam family "Bacterial large subunit ribosomal RNA", at positions 704 to 2637 of the family's 2925-position model. The record is from RNAcentral. Lineage: Bacteria; Pseudomonadati; Pseudomonadota; Gammaproteobacteria; Enterobacterales; Enterobacteriaceae.